AUUGAACGCUGGCGGCAUGCCUAACACAUGCAAGUCGAGCGGUAACAUUUCUAGCUUGCUAGAAGAUGACGAGCGGCGGACGGGUGAGUAACGCGUAGAAAUCUACCUAGUAGUGGGGGAUAGCCCAGAGAAAUUUGGAUUAAUACCGCAUACGCCCUACGGGGGAAAGCGGGGGAUCUUCGGACCUCGUGCUAUUAGAUGAGUCUGCGUCGGAUUAGCUUGUUGGUGAGGUAAUGGCUCACCAAGGCGACGAUCCGUAGCUGGUCUGAGAGGAUGACCAGCCACACUGGAACUGAGACACGGGUCCAGACUCCUACGGGAGGCAGCAGUGGGGAAUAUUGCACAAUGGGCGCAAGCCUGAUCCAGCCAUGCCGCGUGGGUGAAGAAGGCCCUAGGGUUGUAAAUCCCUUUCAGCGGGGAAGAUAAUGACGGUACCCGCAGAAGAAGCCCCGGCUAACUCCGUG
RNAcentral lists this ribosomal RNA (464 nucleotides) under uncultured bacterium. RNAcentral's name for it is "bacterial SSU rRNA". It matches the Rfam family "Bacterial small subunit ribosomal RNA", at positions 30 to 507 of the family's 1533-position model. The record is from RNAcentral.